RNAcentral lists this ribosomal RNA (495 nucleotides) under uncultured bacterium. Its description in RNAcentral is "bacterial SSU rRNA". It matches the Rfam family "Bacterial small subunit ribosomal RNA", at positions 28 to 514 of the family's 1533-position model. The record is from RNAcentral.
GACGAACGCUGGCGGCGUGUUUAACACAUGCAAGUGGAGCGACGAACCGGGGCUUGCCCCGGGGCAGAGCCGCGAACGGGUGAGUAACACGUGGGUAACCUGCCUCAAUGAUUGGGACAACCCGGGGAAACUCGGGCUAAUACCAAAUGUGUUCACUCCUUCUAAGGGGAGUGAGGAAAGGAAGCUUCGGCCUCCGCAUUGAGAUGGGCCCGCGGCCCAUUAGCUUGUUGGUGAGGUAACGGCUCACCAAGGCUUCGAUGGUAGCUGGUCUGAGAGGACGAUCAGCCACACUGGGACUGAGACACGGCCCAGACUCCUACGGAGGCAGCAGUGGGAAUCUUGCACAAUGCGCGAAAGCGUGAUGCAGCAACGCCGCGUGGGGAAGACGGCCUCCGGGUUGAAACCCCUUUCAGUUGGGACGAAGCUUCGUCGGUGAAUAGCCGGUUGGAGUGACGGUACCUUCAGAAGAAGCCCCGGCUAACUACGUGCCAGCAG